ACUGAGACUAGAGUCACAUCUAGCUAAUUGUCGGUAAUCAUGGUGUGCUAUAGUACUCGGAGAGUAACAUCUGACCUUCAUAGUUCAGUCAGACACCAGGUUAGUAACAGAA
Molecule: small nucleolar RNA, 112 nt
Organism: Rhineura floridana
Lineage: Eukaryota; Metazoa; Chordata; Lepidosauria; Squamata; Rhineuridae
Product: small nucleolar RNA SNORA3/SNORA45 family
Exons: 1
Source: RefSeq, a predicted model, not a curated record